Molecule: long non-coding RNA, 3875 nt
Organism: Anas platyrhynchos (mallard)
Lineage: Eukaryota; Metazoa; Chordata; Aves; Anseriformes; Anatidae
Source: RefSeq, a predicted model, not a curated record
CAGGAAACAAACGCCUGAAGCAGAAGUUUCUCCAGUCCUUACUCCUGUUCUUUCCCUUUUCAGCAUGCUUCUGCGAGGAUUUUACAGAGGAGACUUCUGACCUGCAACCCGGCACUUAACUUGUCUUUCCCGUGUCUUCUCCUCUCCCCCAGAUGACAGAUGGCUGGUGUCAGCAAGAGACUUUUAAGCAAAGGAAUUUAUAGAAUACAACAGGAAGCAGAGGGAAACUUUAGCAACUGAAUGAUCAUUGCAAAAGGUUAAAGGAAGAGAAGCAUUUCUGAAGACACGGUAGACCAGAAAUGGUUUGUGUGCCCCUGUAGAGAAAGCCCCAGACCAACACUAAUUGUUUGCAGGUUGUGGCAGCUAGAUGAGAAGCCCAGGGAUACCUCCAAACUCCCCAGGGGAGCCAAUGUCAAGUGAAGGCUCAAAAUCACUGAUCUGCUUUAGUUUGUCAAGAUCUGGGGGUCAUCACAGAAUGAAUCGACAGAGAAUCAAAAGGGAUUAAGCACCAAGACCCAGGACUUCACUGCCUGAGGAUGCAAUGGACAACUCUGGCCGCCUGGACAGCACACACCAAAUGUGCCCAAUGCUCCCUACAUAGAAGGAUUAUCUGAGGGAAGGUCAGAUCUCUCUAGGGCAACAACAACUGCACCCAUCCUUCUGUCUGCAACAUCCCAAAUUUCCUACCUUUGCCUCCCUGUAUACUCAGGAUGGUCCUGAAAGCAGAGGGGCUAUUGCAUCAGGUGAGUCUCGUGCAGUUGAGUCAGCUGCAAAUACUACCCAUGGAAGGGAAGAGAGAUAACUUUAACUAUGGAGUUUCUUAAUCUGACAACAAAGCCUUCCAUACAUUUGGAAGUUGAAGCAAUUCAGAUAGACAUAUGCCAAAAAUGUUUAAGUAGGAGGGUCAUACAUUGUUUUUACCUGGGGGGCUGCCUCCAUUUCAGAAUUCAAAUAAAGAUCUGAGUAUCUUUUUCAGUGAAUAAAUGUUUGGCCUUGAUCAAGGCAUUUCUGUGUAAAAUAGUUUGUGUGCAGAGACUGUGUAUCACCACAUGUAAAAUCCAGGCAGCCCAGACAGACAGGCUUCAGCAAACCUUUCUGCUGUGUUCAAGGAGCGCUUGCCCCUAGCUGUUCUCUCCACCUCACUGCCAGGGGUUGCCAAGCCUGUCACGGGGCUUGCAGAAAGGAGUUUGCCACUAACAUAUAAAAUGUCUUGAAUUGUCAUAAACUGUCAAUUAUAACGAGUGUACCCAGGACCUGGCACAGAGGAUUCAGCCUAAUGAUUCCUGUGAGCAUGUAAGCUUCAGCAGAGGAGCUAGGAUGGAAGAGAGGAGCCACAGCUGGAGAGAAGUAACUUAAACCAAAGGCAGGGGACUAAUCAGAGUGCAUUUGCGAGUGUCCUCAGAUGGUUCACAAAGUGGUCUGGCUUUUAGCUGUCAUAAAACGUGUUGUGUGAGUGUAGGAUAAUUACCAUUAAAUGGCUGAAAAAAAAAUCCAAAGUUUAAUUAGUUUUGUAUGAAACUAGACCCAGUUUUAGCUGAAUCUUCCUGAGUGCAAAUGAGUUUCAGAUUCAAGGUUGAUAUUGUUCAUCAUGGAAAGUUAUGUAUAGAUAUUAGCAACAUUACUUAAAUGCUACAGAAUUAAGAGAAAUAAACUUCAGCUCACUGUGAAAUAUGUGCACUGCACUGAACGUGGUCUUACCCCAACGUAUUUUUUAUUCCCUCGGUUUUCAUUUUAUAGACGUUUUAUUUCAGGAACAGGAACAUUCAUGAGAAACAUGGGAAUGGGUCCCAGAAAGAGGAUAUUUUCCCUUGUUUUCCUGUGUAAUAUAAGAGGAGGAGAAAUGAAAACAAUGAGCAGCCAAGCUGCACCCUUUUGCUCUGCACAACUUCCUGAAAUUUCUCCUGAGCAAGAUAAACUGUGCUACAGCAAAAAAACAGCUCACGGUUAAAUGGCAUCUGUUAGUUGUGCUGCAGAACUCCAAAACAGUCGCAUUUUCACCCCCAUCUGCUUCUUUAGGAUAAAUUGCUUUGUUACCCAGGUGUAUAAUUAGAUAUAAAGGGGCAAUUUAAGACGAACGUCCUCCUAGCUUUUACUAGCCUCACCAGAGAAACAAUAGAAGUCCUGUUUUAACCUAAGGAAGGACGAAAAGCACUAAAAGCUGCACAGGAAACAACCCAGGAUUGCAUGGGCUUGGGGCUGAAUGUUUUGAAGGCUGCAAGCAGAUGUCUCCGCGGGAAGCAGCAGAACCAGCUGCUCUUCGCUGCCGCCCUUGAGCAGAAGCCGACCUUCACCCGUGGCAGCGCGUGUGUGUCAGGGCCCUGCCGGCCCCGCCAGCCAGACCGACCAGGUCAGAUUAACCAGUUUGAACCGCGCGUUUGCAAUAAGCCACGGGAACUUUCCUGAAGGGGAUUAGCGAGUUCCUGCAGAGCCUGCCCUGAUCUGACAGCGGCUCUCAGGGCAGCCCUGGCAUCGGAGCAGCGACAAGCAGCUGAGAAGGGGGAACGUCUUCAUCGGACUCUGACCGAGAAUGCCGCAGACAGAGCGGCACUCGGCAUGGGGCAUUGCCAGCAGGUUUCCAUUCCCAGCCCAGCUGCAGCUGCCCGUCACUGCCUCCGGCCAGUGCCCAGAGGAAUAAAAUCGGGGCUCUGCGUCACCGGGUCGGAGCACGCAGAAGGCUCUGGCAAGGCAGAGAGGACGACCCACUGACAGGGGCCCCGAGGGAAUUGCCAAACCCCAAAGGCGAUGACUGUCUGCAGUCUAAGAAGCUCUUCCCUUCCCCAAGUCUGGAUCUGUUUUCACUUUAAGCCAGUUUUACAUUCUGGACUGAACUGGGGUUUAGAUGUAUUUUAUGUGGCCUACGCCACCCACUGUGUCUCAUCAGGGAUGACAGUUCCUGCCACAAGUAGUUUACAGCUCAAGAGUGACUGCAGAUUCCCAGAGACCAGAGCAAAGCCUGCUCGCUUCUUUCUUUCCACGAUUUUUCCCAUGACUGGCCAGAUCACUCGGCAGCUCUUAGGCCCCUUCCCUGCCUCGUGGCAACAUCAGCUCCUCCAUACAGGCUGAACAGGCUUUCCGCACUUUCUUUGGAGUCUGGAACGUCUUUAUGAAUCUCAGAGCUAUGCAAAAGGUACAGGGAGCUUGUGCAACCCUGCUGGCUGCUGCCACCACCCAGGACAAGGGGCGAUGGUCUGCGAAAAUGACAAAGCAGGAGGUGGUGGCAACAGUGUCCAGAAGGAACCUCAGCAGAGGGGGGAGUUGUAGCAGCCACCACGUCUUGCCACAUCUCUGCUCAGGGCACCUCGUUUUCUCAGACUUGCUGCUUGCAUCCUGCUGCCACCGGUCUGUACAAUUCCACAAAUUAAAGGGAUUUUGCUUGUUUGUUUGUUUUUCCCAGGUGAAUCUAAGGGAGUUAGGAACACAAUUCCCAAGACCUUCGCUUCCCCAGCCCGUCAUCUACAUGCAGAUUACUGCUCUGUGUGCAUACAGAGCAUGCAGAGCUAGUACAGCACACGCCUUAUUACCUUCUUGUGAAGUUCAGCAGUUUGCAAAGGCAUCAAACAAAAGCCGGAUACAGCCUACGUCUCACCAGGAACUGACGUGCUACAAACCACGAGGUAGAAAUCAAACAUGACAGCUUCGCCUCCUAGAUAAAAACAGAGUGGUCUCUUUAUAUCUCAUCCACUGAUUAGAGAUACGUGGCUUGGGACAGCAGAGCUGUAGAGGGACUAGUAUAAUCUGAAAUCCUAUACAUUUUUAACCUGCUCAGCCCUGCCCCCUUAUAAAACAGGCAUUUCAGCUGCUGUUUCUGUUAAUUGGAUGUGCUCUUAAAUGUAAAUGAGAAAAACCACAUUAAAGCCUCUCAAGAUUCCAGAUAA